CCCAAGCAAGACACGGUGGUGACGGAGCCACUUCAGGACCCAUUAUCAGCCAGUCUGCUUUACAGGCAGACGUUGGCUAAGUCGGUCCAGCGCCCACUUUUGGAAGAGGAGAGCCUGACGCGGAUUAUCGAAUCACCCUCCGAACAGAUUGCCGGAGCUCCAUCUUCCGACAACGCUAAAAAGGGUGUUGAUGAUCUCCCAAUCAGUGGACCUGUCGUUGAAGACAAACUGGCCAACUAUGUGCCCACGCCCAUGCCCAGGAAACGCUCCAUGAUGGUUGCCACUAGUGAAAGCGAGGAGGAGCCGCCUCGGAGCGACAGUGGCGCCACCCUGAACUCGAGGCUGCCAGCAGCACCCUCUGUCGGCCCGGACGAUGCGGCUGCCGCGCCGCUGGAGCCAAACUCUGCGACAACAGCACGGCGGCAGCACCCACCGAUGUCCGCCGGCUGGUGGCGGCACCCGUCUCCUGCGUUACGCCAGCAGUGAGCCCGACCGGCCGGACUGCGAGUCCGAGCCCGAGCAACACUCCAGCGUCUCCGAGCGACACGGCAGCGGGGAGUCCGACUCCUGCGGUCGCGCGGGCGGCGACGCCGAC
Pollicipes pollicipes is the source of this 595-nucleotide long non-coding RNA. RefSeq lists it as uncharacterized. The record is from RefSeq and is a predicted model, not a curated record. The transcript is spliced from 3 exons. Lineage: Eukaryota; Metazoa; Arthropoda; Thecostraca; Pollicipedomorpha; Pollicipedidae.